Molecule: ribosomal RNA, 408 nt
Filed under: uncultured bacterium
Lineage: Bacteria
Description: bacterial SSU rRNA
Rfam family: Bacterial small subunit ribosomal RNA
Source: RNAcentral
GACGAACGCUGGCGGCGCGCUUAACACAUGCAAGUCGAGCGAGAACCAGGACUUCGGCCCUGGGGACAGCGGCGAACGGGUGAGUAACACGUGGGUAAUCUGCCCUCGGUUCCGGGAUAGCCCGGGGAAACUCGGAUUAAUACCGGAUAGCCUCACGAGCCUUCGGGGGAGUGAGAAAAGGUAGCUUUGGCCUCUGACCGAGGAUGAGCCCGCGGUGAUUAGCUUGUUGGCGGGGUAACGGCCCACCAAGGCGACGAUCCAUAGCUGGUCUGAGAGGACGAUCAGCCACACUGGGACUGAGACACGGCCCAGACUCCUACGGGAGGCAGCAGUGGGGAAUCUUGCGCAAUGGGCGAAAGCCUGACGCAGCGACGCCGCGUGGGGGAAGAAGGCCUUAGGGUGUAAACC